Molecule: unclassified non-coding RNA, 221 nt
Filed under: Hevea brasiliensis (rubber tree)
Lineage: Eukaryota; Viridiplantae; Streptophyta; Magnoliopsida; Malpighiales; Euphorbiaceae
Source: RNAcentral
GACGGCUUCGUGAUGGGCGAAGGCGCGGGGAUUGUGGUCAUCGAAACACUCGACCAUGCGCUGAGCCGCGGAGCGACACCAAUCGCCGAACUCGUCGGCUACGGCACCACAUCCGACGCCUACCAUAUGACCGCCGGACCGGACGACGGGGACGGCGCGCGGCGCUCGAUUGAAAUUGCGCUGCGACAGGCCGGGAUUUCGCCGAUCGAGGUUCAGCAUCU